AUCCCUUACACUAAAACCAAAAACGUGCUCAAAAUAUAAAAGAUCAAACUAACUAAAAGAGAAAUUCGAAAGUAAACUAUGAAUAUGACUUUGGAGUCUUUAGGCGUCCCCUUCGUCGUCUUCUUGCGGAACGGGCUCGGGAACAAUGUCUUCCUAAUCUGAAAUGAUUAAAUAAGGAAUGAGCUACACUAACCCAGUAAGGACAUCACGAUAUCUCACCGUCACGGAGAUAAAGGUGGGUAGAAAACACAAAAAGACCAAUGGAGCAUAAUUUACAAUAAACUCAUUUAUCAGUAAUAAAACCUUUUACCAUUCACUUACCUCGGUGAAAUUCAUAAAACAAUAUACGAAAGCAAUAACAUUAUCAUCAUCAUGAAAUCAUAUAAACUGUGUAACAUAAUACUUAUCACGCCUUUGCAAUUCAAUCAUUUCACAAUUACUUUUCCUCAUUCACCAGCCUACUAGUAUCCAUGGGGAUCCAUAGGGGUCCCGCUACCCGUUACCCUUAAUACUUGUAAUCAGAUUCCAGGGCCGUCCCCAUACCCCGUCCGGUAUGGGCGCCAAAACUGUAAACCUCAAUACCCCGUCCGGUAUGAGGGUGAAACGGGUCGUCCCCAUACCCCAUCCGGUAUGGGUGCCAAAACACAUAAGAUCUCCAUACCCCGUCUGGUAUGAGAGACCACAAUCCCGGUAGGGUCCCCUACGGACCCGGUCCGUCCACCAUCUCCCAGGAUAUCUAGUCAGGCUGACCCCAUUACACAAUUAUCAAUUUAUACAAUCUUCUAUUCUUCUUUCCCUCAAUCAGCAUCAUCAAUUCGCAUUUAGAUAAGCAAAACAGUAAUUCAUGCCAAACAAACAACAUACAGUAUCG
Molecule: long non-coding RNA, 871 nt
Filed under: Carica papaya (papaya)
Lineage: Eukaryota; Viridiplantae; Streptophyta; Magnoliopsida; Brassicales; Caricaceae
Description: long non-coding RNA (CPAP_LNC015697)
Source: RNAcentral